This is a non-coding RNA of Delphinapterus leucas (beluga whale), 718 nucleotides long. Lineage: Eukaryota; Metazoa; Chordata; Mammalia; Artiodactyla; Monodontidae. The record is from RefSeq and is a predicted model, not a curated record.
GAGUGCUGGCUGUUGGGGCUGCUCACUGAGGGCCCCACUGGGGCCCCGAGGAAUUCCUUCUCCAGAGAUGAGUCCCCGCUACCUUGGAGGAGAGAACAAGAGGGGAGGUGAAGUUGCAGCGCGAGCCAUUUACUGUCCAUUGCCUAAUCUCUUCAAAGUUCAAUGAGGAGACUGAAGCACAAAGAAGGCUAUGUUACUUGUCUAAGGUCAAGUAGUGGUGGAACCCCAAUCUGAUCACAAACAGAGGGAAUGACCUGCACCUUUAGAAAGAGAUAGGGGAAGAAAAGGUGGAUUUUCUGAAACAGGUUCUGUGCGGUGGGAAAACUUCUUCGAAGAACAGGAGAGAUACCCCCUUCAUCAACUGGCCAGGCAAAUGAAGGCCCCCAGGUGUGGAGGCGGAAGAGCUGUGAUGACCGUGAGGGGGCCGCCGCAUACUUUAGGAGGGGUGUGCACUGCAGCCUUUCCCACUGCUUCCACAUCAGUCCGGGAGAGAAGGGUCAGCGACGGGCACUCAGGCACCCCUCCCGUGAACUGUCUCAGCCACGCCCAGUCCUGCAGGGGCUGCUUUUCAGUGCUGAUGUUAACCCUGCCUUGAUUUUCCCCUGUCCCUCUCUAAGGUACAACAGCUGCUGACGUCUAGAAUUCUCAAAACACAGAUGAGGGGUUUCUGGCCUCCACUUUCAUUCAAAAACCAUCCUGUGCAGAGGACUCUUCUUAU